AGUGCGGAGCCUCCGCGAUCCCGCCGUCUUCGCGCCUUCUUCUCGCGCCGGUCUCGCGCUCCUCCUCGACGACGCUCAGCCGCUCGUCAGAUAGUUACCGCGAAACGUCGGGCUCCUCGAAAACGGGCACCGCUUCGCAUCGCACGUUCGUUACUUUCGGUGAAAUAAUAAACAAAAAUCUGUGCCUGACAGGACAACCAAAAUAUCUCAGGCACAAAUGACAGGUGAGGAAUAGGCGUCUGGUGAAAUGAACGGCGGAGGCCCACGGAAACCAUUGGCGACCGGCGACGUCGUUGCUCAGAGUCAGAAGAAAAGAUUUUGAAAAGUUGUUCCUGCUCACUCCGGGUGCACGGAGUGCCUUGUUCACACACUUACCGGAGUCAGUACGAGCUGAACUCAAGAGACGAGCGAGCUUCGGCUGUGUGUGUCCGUCAACUUUCGUCCGGACCGCCCGAGGUCGAGGAGACGUUCCCGUCAGCCGUCGGACACCGGCGGAGCGGUCGUUGAGGACACCCGUAACGGCGACGGCCAAGACGACGACGAUGGUUGGGAUCAGACAUCCAUCAUUGCUCCCAGAAGUUUGGAUGGAUUUUUUGCCACCUGUCUAUGCAUAUCAUUCAGCAAUGGAUUGGUCAUUCCCGUUAUACCAUAAAUAUUUCAACAUUUUGUGUGCCUCUGUAAGUAUUAGUUGGUGUGUGCUGUAAAUCUGCUAGCAU
Molecule: long non-coding RNA, 716 nt
Filed under: Scleropages formosus (Asian bonytongue)
Lineage: Eukaryota; Metazoa; Chordata; Actinopteri; Osteoglossiformes; Osteoglossidae
Description: lncRNA (ENSSFOG00015033067.1)
Source: RNAcentral